GCAAGUCGAGCGCAGUCCUUUGGGACCGAGCGGCGGACGGGUUAGUAACGCGUGGGAACAUACCCUUCUCUAAGGAAUAGCCUCGGGAAACUGAGAGUAAUACCUUAUAAGCCCUUCGGGGGAAAGAUUUAUCGGUGAAGGAUUGGCCCGCGUUAGAUUAGAUAGUUGGUGGGGUAACGGCCUACCAAGUCUACGAUCUAUAGCUGGUUUUAGAGGAUGAUC
RNAcentral lists this ribosomal RNA (222 nucleotides) under uncultured bacterium. Its description in RNAcentral is "partial 16S ribosomal RNA". It matches the Rfam family "Bacterial small subunit ribosomal RNA", at positions 57 to 305 of the family's 1533-position model. The record is from RNAcentral.